GUCGACGGCAGCACGGGAGCAAUCCUGGUGGCGAGUGGCGAACGGGUGAGUAAUAUAUCGGAACGUGCCCAGUCGUGGGGGAUAACGCAGCGAAAGCUGUGCUAAUACCGCAUACGAUCUACGGAUGAAAGCGGGGGAUCGCAAGACCUCGCGCGAUUGGAGCGGCCGAUAUCAGAUUAGCUAGUUGGUGGGGUAAAGGCCCACCAAGGCGACGAUCUGUAGCUGGUCUGAGAGGACGACCAGCCACACUGGAACUGAGACACGGUCCAGACUCCUACGGGAGGCAGCAGUGGGGAAUUUUGGACAAUGGGCGCAAGCCUGAUCCAGCAAUGCCGCGUGCAGGAUGAAGGCCUUCGGGUUGUAAACUGCUUUUGUACGGAACGAAACGGUCUCUUCUAAUAAAGGAGGCUAAUGACGGUACCGUAAGAAUAAGCACCGGCUAACUACGUGCCAGCAGCCGCGGUAAUACGUAGGGUGCGAGCGUUAAUCGGAAUUACUGGGCGUAAAGCGUGCGCAGGCGGUUAUAUAAGACAGAUGUGAAAUCCCCGGGCUCAACCUGGGACCUGCAUUUGUGACUGUAUAGCUAGAGUACGGUAGAGGGGGAUGGAAUUCCGCGUGUAGCAGUGAAAUGCGUAGAUAUGCGGAGGAACACCGAUGGCGAAGGCAAUCCCCUGGACCUGUACUGACGCUCAUGCACGAAAGCGUGGGGAGCAAACAGGAUUAAAUACCCUGGUAGUCCACGCCCUAAACGAUGUCAACUGGUUGUUGGGUCUUCNCUGACUCANUACCGAAGCUAACGCGUGAAGUUGACCGCCUGGGGAGUACGGCCGCANGNUGAACUCAAGNAUUGACGGGGACCCC
This 861-nucleotide ribosomal RNA is filed under the name Rhodoferax sp. RNAcentral's name for it is "bacterial SSU rRNA". It matches the Rfam family "Bacterial small subunit ribosomal RNA", at positions 61 to 923 of the family's 1533-position model. The record is from RNAcentral. Lineage: Bacteria; Pseudomonadati; Pseudomonadota; Betaproteobacteria; Burkholderiales; Comamonadaceae.